This is a non-coding RNA of Ixodes scapularis (black-legged tick), 73 nucleotides long. Lineage: Eukaryota; Metazoa; Arthropoda; Arachnida; Ixodida; Ixodidae. The record is from Rfam.
CCCUGGUUAGCUCAGUUGGUAGAGCGCUCCACCUGUAAUGGAGAGGUCCCGGGUUCGAUACCCUGACCAGGCG